RNAcentral lists this ribosomal RNA (2917 nucleotides) under Acinetobacter baumannii. RNAcentral describes it as "bacterial LSU rRNA". It matches the Rfam family "Bacterial large subunit ribosomal RNA". Lineage: Bacteria; Pseudomonadati; Pseudomonadota; Gammaproteobacteria; Moraxellales; Moraxellaceae. The record is from RNAcentral.
GUUGUAUAGUCAAGUAAUUAAGUGCAUGUGGUGGAUGCCUUGGCAGUCAGAGGCGAUGAAAGACGUGAUAGCCUGCGAAAAGCUCCGGGGAGGCGGCAAAUAUCCUUUGAUCCGGAGAUGUCUGAAUGGGGGAACCCACCUACUUUAAGGUAGGUAUUGCAACAUGAAUACAUAGUGUUGCAAGGCGAACGAGGGGAAGUGAAACAUCUCAGUACCCUUAGGAAAAGAAAUCAAUUGAGAUUCCCUCAGUAGCGGCGAGCGAACGGGGAUCAGCCCAUUAAGUUAUGUGUGUUUUAGUGGAACGCUCUGGGAAGUGCGAACGUAGAGGGUGAUAUUCCCGUACACGAAAGGGCACACAUAAUGAUGACGAGUAGGGCGAGGCACGUGAAACCUUGUCUGAAUAUGGGGGGACCAUCCUCCAAGGCUAAAUACUCCUGACUGACCGAUAGUGAACCAGUACCGUGAGGGAAAGGCGAAAAGAACCCCUGUGAGGGGAGUGAAAUAGAUCCUGAAACCGCAUGCAUACAAGCAGUGGGAGCACCUUCGUGGUGUGACUGCGUACCUUUUGUAUAAUGGGUCAGCGACUUAUAUUCAGUAGCGAGGUUAACCGUAUAGGGGAGCCGUAGAGAAAUCGAGUCUUAAUAGGGCGUUUAGUUGCUGGGUAUAGACCCGAAACCAGGCGAUCUAUCCAUGAGCAGGUUGAAGGUUGGGUAACACUAACUGGAGGACCGAACCCACUGUCGUUGAAAAGCCAGGGGAUGACUUGUGGAUAGGGGUGAAAGGCUAAUCAAGCCUGGUGAUAGCUGGUUCUCCCCGAAAGCUAUUUAGGUAGCGCCUCGGACGAAUACCAUAGGGGGUAGAGCACUGUUUCGGCUAGGGGGUCAUCCCGACUUACCAAACCGAUGCAAACUCCGAAUACCUAUGAGUACUAUCCGGGAGACAGACUGCGGGUGCUAACUCCGUAGUCAAGAGGAAAACAAUCCAGACCGCCAGCUAAGGCCCCAAAAUCAUAGUUAAGUGGGAAACGAUGUGGGAAGGCAUAGACAGCUAGGAGGUUGGCUUAGAAGCAGCCACCCUUUAAAGAAAGCGUAAUAGCUCACUAGUCGAGUCGGCCUGCGCGGAAGAUGUAACGGGGCUAAAACUAUGUGCCGAAGCUGCGGAUGUAUACUUUGUAUACGUGGUAGGGGAGCGUUCUGUAAGCCGAUGAAGGUGUGUUGAGAAGCAUGCUGGAGGUAUCAGAAGUGCGAAUGCUGACGUGAGUAACGACAAAACGGGUGAAAAACCCGUUCGCCGAAAGACCAAGGGUUCCAGUCCAACGUUAAUCGGGGCUGGGUGAGUCGACCCCUAAGGCGAGGCCGAAAGGCGUAGUCGAUGGGAAAAUGGUUAAUAUUCCAUUACUUCUGUGUAAUGCGAUGAGAGGACGGAGAAGGCUAAAUCAGCCUGGCGUUGGUUGUCCAGGUGAAAGGAUGUAGGCAUGUAUCUUAGGCAAAUCCGGGGUACUCUAUGCUGAGAUCUGAUAGCAAGCUGUACUUGUACAGCGAAGUGGUUGAUGCCAUGCUUCCAGGAAAAGUCUCUAAGCUUCAGUUACACAGGAAUCGUACCCGAAACCGACACAGGUGGUCAGGUCGAGUAGACCAAGGCGCUUGAGAGAACUCUGCUGAAGGAACUAGGCAAAAUGGUACCGUAACUUCGGGAGAAGGUACGCUGUUGUUGGUGAUGGAACUCGCUUCCUGAGCUGACGACAGCCGCAGAAACCAGGCCGCUGCAACUGUUUAUUAAAAACAUAGCACUCUGCAAACACGAAAGUGGACGUAUAGGGUGUGAUGCCUGCCCGGUGCUGGAAGGUUAAUUGAUGGGGUUAGCGUAAGCGAAGCUCUUGAUCGAAGCCCCAGUAAACGGCGGCCGUAACUAUAACGGUCCUAAGGUAGCGAAAUUCCUUGUCGGGUAAGUUCCGACCUGCACGAAUGGCAUAAUGAUGGCGGCGCUGUCUCCAGCAGAGGCUCAGUGAAAUCGAAAUCGCUGUGAAGAUGCAGUGUACCCGCGGCUAGACGGAAAGACCCCGUGAACCUUUACUGCAGCUUGACACUGAACUUUGACCUUACUUGUGUAGGAUAGGUGGGAGGCUUUGAAGCUGGAACGCUAGUUCCAGUGGAGCCGUCCUUGAAAUACCACCCUGGUAAUGUUGAGGUUCUAACUCUGUCCCGUGAUCCGGGACGAGGACCGUGUCUGGUGGGUAGUUUGACUGGGGCGGUCUCCUCCUAAAGAGUAACGGAGGAGUACGAAGGUGCGCUCAGCGUGGUCGGAAAUCACGCGUAGAGUAUAAAGGCAAAAGCGCGCUUAACUGCGAGACCCACAAGUCGAGCAGGUACGAAAGUAGGUCUUAGUGAUCCGGUGGUUCUGUAUGGAAGGGCCAUCGCUCAACGGAUAAAAGGUACUCUGGGGAUAACAGGCUGAUACCGCCCAAGAGUUCAUAUCGACGGCGGUGUUUGGCACCUCGAUGUCGGCUCAUCUCAUCCUGGGGCUGAAGCAGGUCCCAAGGGUAUGGCUGUUCGCCAUUUAAAGAGGUACGCGAGCUGGGUUUAGAACGUCGUGAGACAGUUCGGUCCCUAUCUACCGUGGGCGCUGGAAAUUUGAGAGGAUCUGCUCCUAGUACGAGAGGACCAGAGUGGACGAACCUCUGGUGUACCGGUUGUGACGCCAGUCGCAUCGCCGGGUAGCUAUGUUCGGAAGGGAUAACCGCUGAAAGCAUCUAAGCGGGAAGCCUACCUCAAGAUAAGAUUUCCCUAGGACUUUAUGUCCUCUAAAGAGCCGUUCGAGACUAGGACGUUGAUAGGUUGGAUGUGGAAGCAUAGUGAUAUGUGAAGCUGACCAAUACUAAUUGCUCGUGAGGCUUGACUAUACAACACCCAAGCAGUUG